RNA transcript from Acipenser ruthenus (sterlet), 7398 nucleotides. It is a transcript of the gene named HEPACAM family member 2-like, with no coding region annotated. The record is from RefSeq and is a predicted model, not a curated record. NCBI's taxonomy places the organism in Eukaryota, Metazoa, Chordata, Actinopteri, Acipenseriformes, Acipenseridae. The transcript has 7 exons.
CAUUGUUUUGAGUCGGGUCUGCUCCAGCGCAGCACGUUUUAGAAUGUGCAGCGGGUGCGCAGACUCUGCGGGCAAGCAGUUUGCGUUGCUCGGACAGGGUAUGCGCGCAGACUCACGUCAUUUGAACGUGAACGCACCCUACAUUCUUAGUAUCUCUAGCUCUCUAACUUAAGUAUCUUAGAUUAUCAGCUACCGCUGCAGCUUCAGCUGCUCCAGCACACAUCCUCAUCAUGGCUGAGGAAUGUUACAAGCGUGGGAUCCGGUUAUUCGUGCUCUCAGCACUCACAGCACUGUGCAAAGCAGAUGAAUUUCUGGUGUAUGGAGAGAGGCAGUCUUCUGUAAUUGUUCCCGGAUUCAGUGAUUUGGAAACGAGUGGACGUUUAAACUGGCAAUUCUCCAGCCGUAAGACCAGCGCGGCUAUUCUGGAUUAUGUCAUUGGAAGUGCGGAAGCCAACAUCAGUCCCAUGUACAAGAACCGGGUUCAGUUUUUCCCCUCCAACGCAUCAGUGCUCAUUAAGGUCUUGCAGUACAGUGACGAAGGCAACUACACCUUGACAGUGCAGGGCGCUGUAACCAAGACAAGAACCAUCCUCCUGCAAGUCCUGGGACCACUGUCCGACCCACUGAUUUUCAGUUAUGAGCGCAACUCCUCCGUGGUGCUCAGGUGCUCUACGGUUUCGGGGUCACUGUUGACGUUCAGCUGGGAGAGAGGGGGCUCCACUCUGCAUAACGACACCAAGUACAAUCUGAUGGAGGACUACAGCGCUCUCACUUUCACCCUCACAAUACGCAACCUACAGAAGUCCGACUGUGGGAGCUACAAGUGCAGAGUGUCAAACCCGGUAUCUGUGAAGGAAAGUUCUUAUGACUUGUCCAGUGGUGACGUGUGUAGGCAGGAAGUGUACCUGCAGUGGUUGGUGCCUGUCUGUGCCCUCGUGCCUUGCGGGCUGUUCCUCAUUGGCUCAGGGAUUUUUUAUUUCAUUAAGAAGAAUAUGAGAGAGAGGCAUGAAAUGAGCGAGGUAAACAGCGUUGUGUGAAAUGUGUUCCUGCGCAAAAAGGAAACAGACCACAUCAACCCCUGAAGCUGAUGAUACGAUAGCUUCCUGCAUUGCUUUCACUGAUUCAAAAGCCUGUGAAGGACUUCCCCUCCCAUUGGAUCACUCCAGCAAAAAACAGAGAUAAACGCGGAGUUGCCUUGUGCCACCCAGAAGGAAGAAUUGUUUUGUUUGUUUUUCUUCUUCAGUGUUUCCAGUUGAUUUACGCUUUAAAGUUGGCAUACCCAAUUGUCUUCUCAUCGCAUUAUUUUCUUAAAGGGAUUGUGAUUACCAUUUCAUGAAAAUAUAAUUAUCAGUACUAACCACUCCAUUUCAUUAUUGGUAUUAAGAUCAUGUACCGUUUUUAUUGUGUGUGAUUGCAUUCUGGAGCUCAAAUUUAAAGAUUAAAAAUAUGAAAAUGCCCAGCGCCUGGAGAGCGCAUUCAAGUCUCUCAUGCCAGGCUUCGAGUGACGUCACGGUACCAGCAGCUCAAGAAGCUGCUACCACAAACGCAAUGCACUGUUUCCCGGGGUGCUUUGGAAAAGUUUGUCAUCCGAGUAGAUGGAGCAAUAGUUGAAAAGCUCCAAGCGGUCGCUUCAGUCUUAGCAGUAUACAUUUGUAUGUUUUAAUCUUUAAAUUUGAGCUCCAGAACAAACGGUACAGGGUCUAAAUGCUACUAAGGAAAUAAAGUGGCAAGUAUUAAUAUUUUUAGUUUCAUUAUCCAGUGCUUAUUAUCCCUUUAAGAAACUGUAGGUUUAUCUUAAAUUGAAAAAAAUCAGAUGUUCUGUCGCUUUUUAAAUAUGUAAUACCGUAAAUGUUAGUAGGUUCACGCAUUGUAAUUGCUGCAAAAAACCUUAAAUUGCUACUGUCCUCGUGAAAGUCAGUACUUGCAUAGGCUAUUGGGUUUAGUUUUCAGUGGAGUUCUGAUGGAUUAGGAUUAUUUUUCACGAUUAUAUAUAUAUAUAUAUAUAUAUAUAUAUAUAUAUAUAUAUAUAUAUAUAUAUAUAUAUAUAUAUAUAUAUAUAUAUAUAUAUAUACAGUGCCUUGCAAAAGUAUUUAUAGACACCUGACCAAUUCUCUCAUAUUACUGAAUUACAAAUGGUACAUUGAAAUUUCAUUCUGUUUGAUAUUUUAUUUUAAAACACUGAAACUCAAAAUCAAUUAUUGUAAGGUGACAUUGGUUUUAUGUUGUGAAAUAUUUUUAUUAUAUAUUUAUUAUAUUGUCUAGCCUGUCGGUUUUGCGCUUGUUGAAGGUGGCUAGUGACAAUGGGUGUAAUUCGAUCUAUCCUGUCCUGCAUUUGGAUAACAUGAUCUAUUACAUUCUUACCCGUACUAUUCUGUUCUUCCCACAUCUCUCUGGCAAUGUCUAAGAUCCCUCUGGGUUGACGACCAUAUAAGAGCUCGAACGGAGAAAAACCUGUGGAUGAUUGGGGUACUUCCCGAAUAGCAAACAUUAAAUAAGGCAAUAGCAAAUCCCAAUCCUUCCUUUUCCCAAUCCUUCCUUCCCAAUCCGUCUUUUGAAAUUACUUUUUGCAACAUGGAUUUUAAUGUUUUAUUAAAACGUUCCACUAGCCCAUCGGUUUGAGGAUGAUAAACAGACGUUCUAAAUCGGUUUAAUUUUUAACAAAGCACACAACUCUUUCAUUAACCGACUCACAAAGGGCGUUCCCUGAUCUGUCAAGAUCUCCUUAGGUAUCCCGACUCUAGAAAAUACUUGAAUCAAUUCUGUAGCUAUGGUUUUCGACGCCAUGUUUCUUAAAGGAAUGGCCUCUGGAUACCUUGUGGCAUAAUCUAAAAUAACAAGAACAUACUCAUGUCCCCGGGCCGACUUAUUUAGAGGACCUAUUUAAUCCAUGGCAACCCUCUCAAAGGGUAUUUCAAUAAUGGGCAUUGAUUGGAGAGGGGCCCUGAGAUGGGGUCGGGGGCUAGCUCUCUAACACUCUGGGCAUGACUUACACAAAACCGUUCCACUGCUUUGUGGAUCCCUAUCCAAUAGAACCUUUGCGCAAUUCUCUGUAAUGUUUUUUCACUCCCUAAAUGAGCUCCAAACAAGUGACUGUGCGCUAACUUCAACACCAUGCUCUGAUAAGCCUGAGGAACCAACAGUUGUUCCACCAACAUAUCAUUAACAAAAACAACUCUAUAUAACAAAUUAUUUUUAACAAUAUAAUGUUCUCUCUGGUUUAUUACAGCCCCCCUCUACUGGUACACCAUUUACCACUACUACCCUCUCCCGUAUAUGAACUAAUGUUGGGUCCUGCGCUUGAUCCCUUCCAAAAUUCCGAGCAAAGGUUUGAAAAGGAUCGUACCAAUUCUCCGUUUCAGUACUAUCCACUAAAUCCACUAUCCCCUCCCCUGUUUCAUCUAAAAUGUCCUUGGCCAUACACUGAGUACCUACUCCUUUGCCCUUGCUUUUCCUUUGUUCUCCUACUAACACUGUUACCCCUGGAGAACCCUGUUUCUUUUCUAGUCAUCUCUGCCGACGUGACUUGUUAUUUAUUGGGUUUUGAUCCUUCAAAUAAUCCAGUAUCUGUAAAUGGGAAUACAGUAAAGAGACUUUCAGCAGUGGCAUUAUCCACCCUAUUGAUUUGUUCUGGGUUAGUCAAUGUCCCCUGGAAUUUCACUAGGUUUUUAAAACCGGGGUAAUCUCUUCCAAGGAUUACUUGGUGCGGUAACCUCUCCACCAUGCCCACUCUUACUUGGUAUACAGAGUUCUGAAAUGAUACAUUUACUAGAGCGGUUGGGUAUGGUUUUAAAUCCCCAUGUAUACAAAUAAUCCCUGUACUGAGAUUAUAAUCCAUUUGGGUGGUAGGCACCAAUUCAGAUGCUACCAGUGUGACUGCACUACCCGUGUCAAUGAGAGCCUUAGCCUUAUUCCCAUUUAAUUCUACCUGAGCAAAAUAAGGACACAUCUCCUUUACUUCUCCUGGUAUAACAAUACCGCUGCAAAAAUGCUCCCCUAGGUUACACUGCAUAGGUUCAUCCCGUUUACAAAAUCUAGCAAUAUGACCCAUUUGAUUACAUUUAUAAAAAGAGUAGUCUACUCCCUCCUUUUUUCUAGUCUCCCCCAGUCCCUGCAAUCGUCCCUUCGUGGCAUAUAGCCGCUCUUCAUUCCCCACUAAGAGUGGCUUACCCUUCUGGUCGGGGGAACGUUGUUUCCAUGUUGAGGGUCCAGGUACAUUAGCUUUGGGAGGGGUGGUUGAGCGCGCUAAUUCUUCAGCCGCUAUUUGGCGUUCGACUAGAGAUAUGAAUUCGUCAAAGUUGCUAGGGUUCCCUUGGCCCACCCACUGCCUCAUUGUUGGUGGUAAGGCCCGAAGGUAGCAAUCCAUUACCAGGCAUUCGAUAACCUGGUGACUAUCAUGCUCUUCCGGUUUCAGCGACCGGUUGGCUAAGUGAAUUAAAUCAAACAGCUGAGACCUUGGUGGUAACGAGACUUUAUAACUCCAGCUGUGAUAUUUUUGAGCUCGUAGAGCAGUAGUAAUUCCUGCCCUGUCAUGUCAUCUCCUGCGGUCAUCUUGUUCAAGACAUGUGUAGACCGUAUUGAUGCAUUGGUGGAGACCGGUCCAGCUACCCCUGACGUAAUAUGGGUGGCCAAUUGCUCCACUCAUAGCAUCAGGGCUUGUGUGGCUUCUCGUUGAGCCUGCGUGGUGUCUUGUUGAGCCUGCAUGUUUGCCUGCUGACCCCCUACGACGGUGGCGAACAUGCGAACUACGGUCUCUAGGUCGGUCAUCUUGUCUGUAAUUCUUGUACAGCCCAGUGGGUCCUGCAGUGGUUGUCUGCAGGGUUAAGCAGAUCCCACUUCUGAUGCCAAGUGUGACACAAAUGUGUUCACGUAGUUUGGGACCUGGCUAAGGUGUCUGUAUUGUAGUGCAGACAAAUGUGAUCCAGACCGUAAUUGCAAGUAUUAGUUCCAAAAUUAAAUAAACGAAACACACAGAAGUUCUUCACAAUGAACAACUCCUACAGUGAACACAGUACAGUAUUUUCUUCUUGGCUGGACUGUUUCUGGAGGUGACCCUUUGCACCGGAACUCAGGUAAGUACUUGGUGGUUCUCUUCUAAAUCUUUUCCUGUUGUUGGUUUGUUGCUGUGUCCCCUUUUCUCUCUUUCCAAGUGCUGUGGAGCUUCCAGCAGAUGGCGCUGUGGAGUCAGGUCCCUCUAGCUUCACUAUGUCCAGGUUUGUACUUACUAUUGCCCGGUGGUCCUUUGCAGAACUGCACAGCCCAGUCAACCUUUUGUGAAGGUAAAAACAAACUACACUUAAAGUUGAAUAAUUUAUUAACUAUACUGUAACUUGUCAGAGUACUGUUCAUAAUUCUAUAUUAUAUCUUUCCUUAAAGGGUUCCUCUCUUUAUGGAAAUCAAUUCCGUUGUGCAUCGCACCACUUAAAAUACCCCGUACGUUGUGAGCUUUGAGUUACCGUCUCGGUACCCCAUUGGCUUCAGCCAGGGUUUCUUAAAAAUAAACACCAGUCCCGUACCACAACACAUCCAGGAACAAACACAACACGCUGUACUCACUGUGACUGGGUCUGUGUUGUAUACGUUGUUCCUCUGUGUUGGUCCUCUGUCAGAAGGUAUUUGUAAUCCACAGUGAUCCUCUGUUCUAUGUAGCAGACGUGAGUCGAGUGCAGCGUCUCGCUCUCAUCUGGUAUUAACUGUGCACUCCUUACGCUCACCUCUUCGACAAGUUGUAAUUUGAAACCGAGUGGAACAUCUCGGUUUUGUUUGAUAUUUUGUUUAUAAUCCUUAAUGCUCACCACUCUGUAAUAUAGCAGACUCGGGCCAAGUGCAGCGUCCCCUUCUCGUCUGCUAUUUUAAUUUCAUCCGUAAUAUUAAUAUCACCUGUUCUCUCCUACCUAGCAGCCUUUUAAAGUCACCGCCGUUCCCCGUCAUGCACUGGCGGGUUUCCUGGUGGUCGUUGGGAAAUGUAGUUUCUGGUCCUUCUAUGUAGGCAUUUAAUCCCUUAAAAACCUCACUCCCAUCACAAAUUAAUUAUAUAUAUAUAUAUAUAUAUAUAUAUAUAUAUAUAUAUAUAUAUAUAUAUAUAUAUAUAAUAAAGAGUACGUGAUGAAGAGUGGAGGGAAGGCACGACCAGUCGGCCAGUAGAGGAGGAGCAGAGAGGGCGAGAGGGGGUGUAGUGAGAUACAAGGGAUUGGAGGUAGGAGGGGGCAGUGUGGUGAAGGGAGCGGAAGGCAAGAACAAGCAGAGAUAGGUAGCCAGUGGAGGGUGCGAAACAGAGGGUAGCAUGAGAGAAGCGAGGUUGGGAGAAUACAAGACGAGCAGCAGAAUUUUGAAUGAGCUGCAGGGGCCAGAUAGUCGAAGCAGGGAGACCAGCAAAAACAAGUCAAAUUACCAAGCAUACGGUGGAUGUUUUAAGGAAAAUAAAUGAACAAACAGAUUUGACAAAAGUGGGAUUAAAACACACACUCAGGCACGUACUGCGGGUUGAAAAUGCGCUGCUGCACUACUUUUAUUAAAUAAACACAAAACGAAACCAAAAAAAUAACAGUGCGAGGGCCAAAAGAAAACACAACCAAAUAGUCAGCACUCGCAUAUCCGACCCGAUAAUUUUGACUUCAGUGACAGUUAAACUCAUGUGACGCAUAUCUGAUUAUUUUAUUUUGGCCCUUCCAAAACCUUGUCAAUCUCAAAAAUAUAUACCUGAAAUGAGUAGGCUUCCAUUUAGCUGUACUGUAUUGGGUUUUGUUGGUACAGUACUAGAAUUUCAACAGAAGAAAUAUUUUAAUUCGGAACAAUACGAUUAUGAAAAUAUCACUUGCCAAAAGAGACACGAGGACUGUAAUACAGUACAUACUUUUCAAUCCGGUACGUAUUGUAGCAGUAUGUAAAAUUCCCCGUUAACGACCCAACAGCAAAAUGAAAUCACAAUGUCACUGUGAUGGGGUACAUCUCGCCCCUGUGUUGUAUUAUUUUGUAUUUGUAUUAUGAUUUAUUUGUUACAUUAUGUCGGCGAAAAGCCAUAUUGUGUAUUUAAAAUGCAGGGCAGACGAAAAGCUCUCUGCCAUUAUUUUUGGUUUGUUAUUUAUUAUUUAUAAACUCAUGAGAAUGUGUAACUGUCGGCUAAUAAUUAAUAGAUUGGCUGGCAGUCACACAGAUGAUUAAAACCUGUGUAUGUGACCAUUGUCUUAAUUUGGAGAUGGCCACGUAUAUUUAAAGCAGAGAUCAGCCGCACAGAAGGAUGAUUGGGAGUACUCUGCAAAGGAUUGCUAUAUUCGAGAAGCAACUGCUACCGCUGUACCACACGGUAUUUGUGUUUAUUUGGGCCCUUAUGCGGUUUUGUUUUUGUUUAUACUUGUGUUGUUUUGUUUGUUAUUAUUAAAGCCUGAGCGCAAUAGCAUCUCA